This 207-nucleotide unclassified non-coding RNA is filed under the name plant metagenome. Its description in RNAcentral is "partial contains small subunit ribosomal RNA, internal transcribed spacer 1, and 5.8S ribosomal RNA". The record is from RNAcentral.
UUUCCGUAGGUGAACCUGCGGAAGGAUCAUUCAUAAUAAGUGUUUUAUGCCACUUUUUUAAAUCCAUAUCCACCUUGUGUGCAAUGUCAGGGUUGGUCUCAUUUGAUCAGCCCCAAACAUCAACUAUUACCUCAACUCUUUGUCUGAAAAAUAUUAUGAAUAAAACAAUUCAAAAUACAACUUUCAACAACGGAUCUCUUGGCUCUC